CCAAUAGCGUAUAUUAAAGUUGUUGCAGUUAAAAAGCUCGUAGUUGAAUUUUAGGCCUGGCCGGGCGGUCCGUCUUUGGCGAGUACUGUUCUGUGUCGGGUCUUACCUUCUGGUGAACCGGUAUGUUCUUAAUUGAGUGUACCGGGGAGCCAGGACCAUUACCUUGAAAAAAUUAGAGUGUUUAAAGCGGGCCUUUGCUUGAAUAGAUUAGCAUGGAAUAAUAGAAUAGGACGUUGGUUCUAUUUUGUUGGUCUAGGACCACCGUAAUGAUUAAUAGGGAUAGUUGGGGGCAUUAGUAUUCAAUUGUCAGAGGUGAAAUUCUUGGAUUUAUUGAAGACUAACUACUGCGAAAGCAUUUGCCAAGGAUGUUUUCAUUAAUCAAGAACGAAAGUUAGGGGAUCGAAGACGAUCAGAUACCGUCGUAGUCUUAACCAUAAACUAUGCCGACUAGGAAUCGGGCGACGUUAUUUUCAUGACUCGCUCGGCGCCUUAUG
This 494-nucleotide ribosomal RNA is filed under the name uncultured Glomeromycotina. Its description in RNAcentral is "partial small subunit ribosomal RNA". It matches the Rfam family "Eukaryotic small subunit ribosomal RNA", at positions 591 to 1092 of the family's 1831-position model. The record is from RNAcentral. Lineage: Eukaryota; Fungi; Glomeromycota.